RNAcentral lists this ribosomal RNA (465 nucleotides) under uncultured bacterium. Its description in RNAcentral is "partial 16S ribosomal RNA". It matches the Rfam family "Bacterial small subunit ribosomal RNA", at positions 28 to 507 of the family's 1533-position model. The record is from RNAcentral.
GACGAACGCUGGCGGCGUGCUUAACACAUGCAAGUCGAACGGUGAACUCCUCUUUCGGGGGGAUCAGUGGCGAACGGGUGAGUAACACGUGGGCAACCUGCCCUCAGCUCUUGGAUAACUCCAAGAAAUUGGGGCUAAUACCGGAUAUGACCGCUGACCGCAUGGUCUGGUGGUGGAAAGAUUUAUCGGCUGGGGAUGGGCCCGCGGCCUAUCAGCUUGUUGGUGGGGUAGUUGCCUACCAAGGCGACGACGGGUAGCCGGCCUGAGAGGGUGACCGGCCACACUGGGACUGAGAGACGGCCCAGACUCCUACGGGAGGCAGCAGUGGGGAAUAUUGCGCAAUGGGCGAAAGCCUGACGCAGCGACGCCGCGUGGGGGAUGACGGCCUUCGGGUUGUAAACCUCUUUCAGCAGGGACGAAGCGAAAGUGACGGUACCUGCAGAAGAAGCACCGGCAAACUACGUG